GAGAGAGAGAGGGAAGGUUUUAUUAGCAUGGUUUUGAAUGACGGUCAUGAAAAAUCGUAGUGGUUCCGAUGUUUAACAACAAAACCUCCUUCAAUUCCACUCAGAAUACCUAAAUC
Telopea speciosissima is the source of this 116-nucleotide long non-coding RNA. RefSeq lists it as uncharacterized. The transcript is spliced from 3 exons. NCBI's taxonomy places the organism in Eukaryota, Viridiplantae, Streptophyta, Magnoliopsida, Proteales, Proteaceae. The record is from RefSeq and is a predicted model, not a curated record.